UAUUGGGCGUAAAGCGCGCGCAGGCGGUUCCUUAAGUCUGAUGUGAAAGCCCCCGGCUCAACCGGGGAGGGUCAUUGGAAACUGGGGAACUUGAGUGCAGAAGAGGAGAGCGGAAUUCCACGUGUAGCGGUGAAAUGCGUAGAGAUGUGGAGGAACACCAGUGGCGAAGGCGGCUCUCUGGUCUGUAACUGACGCUGAGGCGCGAAAGCGUGGGGAGCGAACAGGAUUAGAUACCCUGGUAGUCCACGCCGUAAACGAUGAGUGCUAAGUGUUAGAGGGUUUCCGCCCUUUAGUGCUGCAGCAAACGCAUUAAGCACUCCGCCUGGGGAGUACGGCCGCAA
RNAcentral lists this ribosomal RNA (341 nucleotides) under Bacillus sp. OFR-3. Its description in RNAcentral is "bacterial SSU rRNA". It matches the Rfam family "Bacterial small subunit ribosomal RNA", at positions 552 to 891 of the family's 1533-position model. RNAcentral also lists the same sequence under 1 other name. Lineage: Bacteria; Bacillati; Bacillota; Bacilli; Caryophanales; Bacillaceae. The record is from RNAcentral.